UAACACCCAGUGACCUGUUGCAUUCGGACGUACGGUACGGGGACUCGACACCCAUACGCCACCCGGUCGUCGCGAUCCCCUGUCUCACCCCACCCCCUCCCCUCUGCUGACCACCAGUCUGUUCUUUGCAUCAGACACAACAGUUUCAUCGCUGUACCUGAACAGUGUUGGCCGUUACGGAUGACCGCUGAAGACCUACAGAUACAUGACUUGUUUCACAAACGUUUUCCAAGAAAGUUUUACGGUUUAUUGCCUUCAUUUCGUUAGAAUCACUAUUUUGUCACAGCCAGGCUUUUCGCACAACGUGGGCUCCAUUGACAGACGAAUCUCCGUGAUUAAAAAAGUAAACCGACUUGUACUCAGAACGUACGAAAGGUAAAUAUUUUCACCCAAACCCUUAAGGUUAAAAAUUGCAAAACUAAAGUUAUCCUCUGUGCGUUUUCUGCGUUAGUUUUCUUUGAUAAUAUUGAAACUCUCCACUACGAUUAAAGGCACGACGUAAAUUGUAACUGAAGAAUGUUAACGCUUCAUAUCAAAACUAUUUAAAUCAAGCUGAAAUGUUUAAAUUUGUUAAAAAAAAAAAAGUUAAAUCCUUUCACGUAUGUCUCAUAAAAAUAACACCCUUUGCAGUCCUGAUGUUCAGCCAAAGUAAAUAAUUCGUAUCGCUCGUCAUCUGUUAGGAGGAGAUCUGUGUAGAGAUCGAUUGAUGGGAAUCAGGUAACACUGUGAAAUGUGCCCUCACUGCCACGUGCAGCUGUCGUGAAUACCAGGCUAAUUCGUGAGGGUUUCCAGAAGCACAAAUCGGAAAGAGAGCAAGGAAAUAGAUAUUUGGUACAACGGCGAAAUGCCCCCAGUUGGGGCAAGAACCGGUUGCUUCCGUCCUGGGCGCCGCCUCCCUGAAGCCCGCCGGCGUGUCUCACGGGAGGGGCACCGAGGGUGCAGGUUGGGUGACACCAGGCGGACUCUCAGGGGACAGAGGGGCCCCCGUGACCCCUUACGGGGAUCCGUGCAUGGCCGUUUGUAAUACGCUGGCCCCCGGAAGCACGAGUCCCAAGGAAGGGCCCCCUCGCCCCCCUCUCUGGGCCCCAUGUUGUCUCUGGUAUUUUCUGUGUAAAUGAAGACACGUGUCCCUCUUGCACCUCCAGCUGGGUGGCGGAGCUGAGACCCGGCUCCAGAACUUCGAGCCUCCGAGGGAAUUAUGGCGCAGCGGUUGGAACUCUGGCCUUGACCCAGGGCAGGGGGCUUCUCCGGGGCUGUGCCUUACUCCUGUGUCCAAACCGCUGUCACACGGGAGCUGCUCAUAAGUGUGGGGGGCGUUGUCCCUG
RNAcentral lists this long non-coding RNA (1325 nucleotides) under Lynx pardinus (Iberian lynx). Lineage: Eukaryota; Metazoa; Chordata; Mammalia; Carnivora; Felidae. The record is from RNAcentral.